RNAcentral lists this transfer RNA (70 nucleotides) under Marmota monax (woodchuck). RNAcentral's name for it is "tRNA.Ala". The record is from RNAcentral. Lineage: Eukaryota; Metazoa; Chordata; Mammalia; Rodentia; Sciuridae.
GGGCUGGGGCUCAGUGGCAGAGCACUUGCCUAGCAUGCGUGAGGCACUGGGUUCGAUCCUCAGCACCACA